GAACUCUUCGGAGUUAGUGGCGGACGGGUGAGUAACACGUGGGAACGUGCCUUUUGGUUCGGAAUAACUCAGGGAAACUUGUGCUAAUACCGAAUGUGCCCUUCGGGGGAAAGAUUUAUCGCCAUUAGAGCGGCCCGCGUCUGAUUAGCUAGUUGGUGAGGUAAUGGCUCACCAAGGCGACGAUCGGUAGCUGGUCUGAGAGGAUGAUCAGCCACAUUGGGACUGAGACACGGCCCAAACUCCUACGGGAGGCAGCAGUGGGGAAUCUUGCGCAAUGGGCGAAAGCCUGACGCAGCCAUGCCGCGUGAAUGAUGAAGGUCUUAGGAUUGUAAAAUUCUUUCAGUAGGGACGAUAAUGACGGUACCUACAGAAGAAGCCCCGGCUAACUUCGUGCCAGCAGCCGCGGUAAUACGAAGGGGGCUAGCGUUGCUCGGAAUUACUGGGCGUAAAGGGAGCGUAGGCGGACAUUUAAGUCAGGGGUGAAAUCCCGGGGCUCAACCUCGGAAUUGCCUUUGAUACUGGGUGUCUUGAGUAUGAGAGAGGUAUGUGGAACUCCGAGUGUAGAGGUGAAAUUCGUAGAUAUUCGGAAGAACACCAGUGGCGAAGGCGACAUACUGGCUCAUUACUGACGCUGAGGCUCGAAAGCGUGGGGAGCAAACAGGAUUAGAUACCCUGGUAGUCCACGCCGUAAACGAUGAUUGCUAGUUGUCGGGAUGCA
RNAcentral lists this ribosomal RNA (718 nucleotides) under Brevundimonas sp. G1_18. RNAcentral's name for it is "bacterial SSU rRNA". It matches the Rfam family "Bacterial small subunit ribosomal RNA", at positions 68 to 832 of the family's 1533-position model. Lineage: Bacteria; Pseudomonadati; Pseudomonadota; Alphaproteobacteria; Caulobacterales; Caulobacteraceae. The record is from RNAcentral.